AAUCAAUGGUGUGGGCAUCAUUGGAUUAGGGUUUUAAAACACUCCCAAGUUUCAUGAAAACUUUCUCCUUCUAUUUGUUUAAAUGUUGUGAUCUCUCUCCUCAGUUG
Molecule: non-coding RNA, 107 nt
Organism: Gossypium hirsutum (cotton)
Lineage: Eukaryota; Viridiplantae; Streptophyta; Magnoliopsida; Malvales; Malvaceae
Source: Rfam